AGAUACCCUACUAUGCCCAACCGUAAACACUGUUUUUAUCCGCCAGAGAACAACGAGCUAAAGCUUGAAACCCAAAGGACUUGGCGGCACUCCACACACCCUAGAGGGGCCUGUCACAUAAUCGAUAACCCACGAUAGACCUUACCACCUUUUACCACAUUAGCCUAUAUACCGCCGUCGUCAGCCCAUCUUAAUAAGAGUAUGGGCCCAAUAGUUCCGCACACUAACACGACAGGUCAAGGUGUAGCCCAUAAGGUGGCAAAUGAUGGACCACAUUGCUUACUAUAGCAAACAAGACAGCCUGAAACAGGCCUUUAAGGUGAAUUUAACAGUAAGGUAGACAAGAAAAUUAACCUAAAGACUGCUCUGGAGCGUGCACACACCGCCCGUCAC
Molecule: ribosomal RNA, 393 nt
Filed under: Rhampholeon temporalis
Lineage: Eukaryota; Metazoa; Chordata; Lepidosauria; Squamata; Chamaeleonidae
Description: 12S ribosomal RNA
Rfam family: Bacterial small subunit ribosomal RNA
Source: RNAcentral